AGUAGGACUGCUGGUCAUAUGGUAAGUAUUUAUUUAACUUUGUAAGAAACUGCCAGACUGUUUUCACAGUGGCUAUAUCAUUUUACAUUCCAUCAGUAGU
RNAcentral lists this microRNA precursor (100 nucleotides) under Marmota monax (woodchuck). The record is from RNAcentral. Lineage: Eukaryota; Metazoa; Chordata; Mammalia; Rodentia; Sciuridae.